Castor canadensis (American beaver) is the source of this 1840-nucleotide non-coding RNA. NCBI's taxonomy places the organism in Eukaryota, Metazoa, Chordata, Mammalia, Rodentia, Castoridae. The record is from RefSeq and is a predicted model, not a curated record.
CUACGCUGCUGACCUGGUACGUGUGAGGUGUUCCGCCCUCCAGUUCCUGUCGCUUUGUGACGCUGACCCCAGGAGCAGGAGUGGACAGCAGGACACCCGGCAGUCAGGAAUGGAGUCUGUGACCUUUGAGGUUCUGGCUGUGAACUUCACCUUGGAGGAAUGGGCUCUGGUGGAUUCUUCUCAAAAGAAGCUCUACAAAGAUGUGAUGCUGGAAAUCUUCACGAGCCUGGCUGCUGUAGGAAGAAAACAGGAAGACCCCAAUAGUGAAGAUGACUACAGAUAAUUCCAGGAGAAAUGUAAGAUGUCAAGUCUUGAAAACACUUUGUGAAAAAAAAGGCAUCAAGUGGGUUCCACACAUAAUUGUGAAUAGGAAAACUGGAGUAAAACUGUGUGAAAGAAGUCCUCAUGGGUCAUUCAUCACUAAAUGUGCCCACCAGUGUUCAGAUGGGACACAAAAAUUAUGAACACCUGGAAUAUGGAGAGGAGCUAUAUAAAUGUUUGGAAUGUGGGAGAACUUUCAGCUAUGCCAAAUGCUUUGAGGAGCAUAAACGAUCUCACACUGGAGAAAAGCAGAAUGUAUGUAAAUACUGUGGGAAAGUCUUUACUUAUCCCAGUUUUCUUCUGUGCCAUGAAAGGACGCACCCUGGGGAGAGACCCUACUUUUGUGAACUAUGUGGAAAAGCCUUUAAUCGUGUGAGUUUGCUUCGAAGACGUGAACACACUCACUGUGGAGGGAAGCGCUGUGUUUGUAAUCAGUGUGGGAAAGUAAAGACAUCCUUAUUCUUACAUCCUGGGUGGAUGCAUCCGGGCAGGAUUGUCAAAGUAGUGAGGAUGACAGUUAAAGUUUAUUAAAGGUUAGGGAAGUGAGGUACAAAAGGCCAUGCCUGGCCAGAGGGAAGCUGAAAGUAGUGAGAGAGAGAGAGCGAGAGAGAGCGAGAGAGCUCUGUUUCACUGCUAACCUGUGGGAGGGGAAAAACUUGAGCAGUUUUUGAUCACCAAUAAUCAGUGAGUGGGGAGGGGGUUGGGUGGUCCCCAGGCUAGCAUGUGAUCAAUAUUCAUAUUUUUAUCUGAGGGAUGAUGAGGGGUAGAAGCACCCACAGGCUUUUAUCUUACAAUUUAUAACAGGAGAGGAGAGCAUUGGACUGAGCAAGGAGUUUAGCAUGGUACGUGCCAAGGUAAGUUACAUGUGGGGUCUGAGGAGUUCUGUGGCAUUUUUGUAUGUCCUAGCCUGCCUCAGAUUUACAGUGGAGAGAAUCUCUCUGUAUGUGAGCAGUGUGGGAAAGGCUUGUCUUGUUUGAGUCAGGUUUGAAAAUCUGAAUGAACCCACACUGGGCAAAUUUCAUUGACAGAGAAUGGGAAUUCCUUAGUCUAGAGUGUGGAAAGGCGUCAUUACCAUAUGAACCUUCAGAAUAGGGAAGAAGAUAAGCAAGGUGUCAGUUCAACCUCCUUUCCAAAUUCCUUCUGUAGUGGAAUCAUAUGAGUGACUUUUGAUACUAAGUAAUUUAUGCAGAAUGUUCCACAAAUCACACAACCUGAAGGAAAUCUUCUAAAGUUAUAUUGUGCUUACCCAUGGGUCUCUUGAAGUAGAUCUGUGGAUAUGUAUUUCUAAUGUUCACUCCUGAAAAUAAAGACAUAGUUCUCUAAGGUUUGUUUAAGCAAUAGUGUGUUAGUUUACUCUGGUACUUAACUUUGAUCCUUUCAUUUUGAGUCAUGUUGGGUGAUUGUGUGAUUUCAAGUGUAUUUCCACUGUUCUAUAAGACAAUUUUUAUGUGUUUUAAAACUUUUUACCCUUUUUUUCUUUUGUGGUUCUGCAGCUUGAACUCAGGGGUUUUGUUGAGUC